This 305-nucleotide ribosomal RNA is filed under the name uncultured bacterium. RNAcentral describes it as "bacterial SSU rRNA". It matches the Rfam family "Bacterial small subunit ribosomal RNA", at positions 21 to 358 of the family's 1533-position model. The record is from RNAcentral.
GGCUCAGAACGAACGCUGGCGGCGUGUUCACACAUGCAAGUCGAACGAACCUUCGGGUUAGUGGCGGACGGGUGAGUAACGCGUGACAAUCUGCCCUCAGGAGGGGGAUAACGGUUGGAAACGACCGCUAAUACCCCAUAUGCCGAGAGGUGAAAAGAAAUUCGCCUGAGGAUGAGCUCGCGUCUGAUUAGCUAGUUGGUGUGGUAAUGGCGCACCAAGGCUUCGAUCAGUAGCUGGUCUGAGAGGAUGAUCAGCCACACUGGGACUGAGACACGGCCCAGACUCCUACGGGAGGCAGCAGUGGG